CCUACGGGAGGCAGCAGUGGGGAAUAUUGGGCAAUGGGCGAAAGCCUGACCCAGCAACGCCGCGUGAAGGAAGACGGCUUUCGGGUUGUAAACUUCUUUUGACAGGGAAGUGCAGAAGACGGUACCUGUCGCAUAAGCCACGGCUAACUACGUGCCAGCAGCCGCGGUAAUACGUAGGUGGCAAGCGUUGUCCGGAUUUAUUGGGUUUAAAGGGUGCGUAGGCGGGCAUUUAAGCCGGCGGUCAAAUGUCGGGGCCCAACCCCGGCCUGCCGUCGGAACUGGGUGCCUUGAGUGGGCGAGAGGUAUGCGGAAUGCGUGGUGUAGCGGUGAAAUGCAUAGAUAUCACGCAGAACCCCGAUUGCGAAGGCAGCAUACCGGCGCCCUACUGACGCUGAGGCACGAAAGUGCGGGUAUCGAACAGGAUUAGAUACCCGAGUAGUC
RNAcentral lists this ribosomal RNA (441 nucleotides) under uncultured bacterium. RNAcentral's name for it is "partial 16S ribosomal RNA". It matches the Rfam family "Bacterial small subunit ribosomal RNA", at positions 338 to 795 of the family's 1533-position model. The record is from RNAcentral.